CAUGAGCUCAUAUUAGAGUUUCAUGGAUCUUUUUCAAAGCUUUGGCGUUUUGCAUCAUUUUUUUAGUUCGAAGAUUGAUCAGCAUGGAAUAGAUAUGAUGCAGAUUGGUGCAACAAUUUGUGUGAUAUUUUGCAGCUUUGAAAUUUCAUUUGUAGCCUGAAUGUGUUAAUACAAAAGUGUGACUCUGGUGAAAAUGCAUUCUUCGGAGAAGUGGUGGGUGCAUAUACAUUUUGUGCUUUACAUCAAAUUUCUCAGAGGUUGAUAACACGGGCAGUCUGUCAGCUGGUUGGUAUCAGUUUGUAUGUGCUAAGUUGUGCUGGAUUGAUUUCAUGAGAAUAUAGUGAGAUUGACCUACAUUGUGUCUUUUCGGAUGUUUUUACAAGUUUGUUGUUGAUGCCAUAUCAUUGGUUUUUCCAUGUUGCAAAAGGUAGCUCGGAUGCUCAACACUAGCUGUGGUCUUUGUUGUGUCCUCUAGCUGCAAUUUGACUCUAUUCUUGUGUUUCUUGGUGCAGCAACUUAUCACAUGAUUGUGUAUCUAUUGUCCUAAUCUUCUGAAUAUAUUGUGCUAGCAGUUUGUGCCCCGCUGCAUACUGUCUAUUUCUGAUGUCUUGGUCAAUCAGCGCUAGCUUGUGAGGAAAUUCAUGUCAUUUAGGUCAUGCUGCAGUUUAGGCAUAGCUAUACAAAUAUGGGUACCAUCCAUGACUGCAGCUCUGUUUUGGUGAUAUUUUGUUUUGAUCACUUGUACCAAAAUCUACUCACAAAGGAAAAUCACGUGUCACUUACUUUCUCGCUAGUGUUAUCUAAAUUCAGUAUAAACUGUUCUCGGAGCGACAAGGAUUUGUGUGAUUCAUGGCAUAUACUAGAGAGGACAACCGAGGAUAUUUGACAUUUGUUGUAUACAAUAUAAGGUUAACAUAUUCAAGGAAUGAGCACCGUUUGGGAAAAUAUCAAUGGCCUCCAUUCAGUUAUGCACAGGACCAAUAUGUGAUGAACUCUGCAAAUAGCGUAAGUACAAGUUGAUUUCUAUGUUUUGUUCUCUUUCAUCUGUAGGUGUCUUGCAACAACAUUAUCUAUGAUAAAUCUAGCCAGCUGUACUACAAUUCCCACACCACCAAUUUUUUAAGUUUACGCAACAAAUUGCUUCACAUCCAAUCCACUGAGCCGUAACGGCUGAACGACGCUCCUCAUCCAAUCCGCUCGCGGUCUCGCUGGAAAGGAGGAGGCCGAGCUGCAUACGGGUUGCCUCCUCGCUCUCCUCUUCCCCAAUCUCCCGUGCCUCUCCUCCUCUAGCUCUUUGGCCCCUUCUCCACUGCCACCCAUCUUCCAGUUUUCUCCAUGACUGGAACAGGGAGAGGCAGAGGAAAGCAAAGCAGCAUGGAUGCGGAGGCAGAGCUCGACGUGGAGGAGCAACUCCCCUUCUUCAUCUGGGAUCUACGGGUUCAUAUUCUCUUCCCUAGAAGAGUCUGGACACAAGAAAGAUAAAAGGUAUAAAUGGAAGCAAAUUAUGAAUUUGGAAAACACUUUGUAGGGAGAAUUCUAAUGUGGAUUAUUGUAUAAAAGUUAAAAAUUAUCAUGGUUUAUAAGCAGCACAAAAAUUCCACAAAUUUCCAUUUGUUCUUUCUUUUACAUAUUGAAUACCAGUCUGACCUCUUUUGCAGCUUAAUUACCAGUUAUCCUUCACUGAUGUUUUUUGAGCCAACGAAAAUAGAAACAAAUUACUUAUGAUUGGUUGGUUAUGCCUUCAUCUGACCAGUUAUUGCCCUGAUAUGUUUCAGCGCAAUCACUUUAUUCCCAAGUGUAUCGUGGAUUGUGGGGAUGACCUUUGGAUAUGGUUAUGGGUGGGGAUGGCCUUUGGACAUGGUUAUGGCUUUCUAAUAAUUUUGUGCAUAUCUCUGCUAGCGGGGCCAGUUAGGUUUGGGCCUUAUUCAUUUCUAGCUGGACGUUUCAAAUCAUGUUAAUAAAUCCAGUUUAUAGGAGGUUUAGAAGUUGUCAACGGCCAGUCAUUUGCAGCAAGUUGGGUUAGGCUUUAGGUUCUGGAUUUUAAUCUUUCAUUGGUUCUAAUUCCUUAUGUCGUGAAUCAUAUGUACUAUUGAUUUUAUCAGCGUGGGUGGCUUGCGGUCCAUGUACAGGGGCUCGGUUGAUGCGAUCACCGCCGCGCCAGGCACCGGCAUCAAGGAUCUCAAAUAGGAAGGCUUCCAGGGAGCAGGUAUUUUCUGGCCACUACGUUUAGAUAUUUGAGAAUAGGCGUAAAUUGAGUGAACCUCUUGUUGCUAAGAACAUGUACUCUCUCUGGAUUUCUGAUGCUAUUGUUGCUAACAAUCAUCCAUCUGUUUUUAUCUUACGUUUAACUAUCACAGUUGGGUAGAACGGUAUGCACUAUUCAUGUAUGUAUUUGCAUAUUGAUCUAGCUCUGAGGGCUGAUGCUAUGGACUUGGUUUAUUUUCAGUUGUAUCCACGGCUGUUUCCUUCCAGCCAAAGGACACUAGGAAGUUUCGGUUUAUUUUCAGAUGUACCCGCAGCUGUUUCCUAAAUCUCUUGGAAUUCAUACACCGUUCAGCCUUUACACAUCAGGUUCAUAUCAGCCUUUGCGGACACAUUCAACCUUGGAGGUGAUUUAAAUUCGACUGGAACAACAUAUGUCGAGUUUCUCAUCAACAUAUUUCCUAAAGAGCAAAAUCGAAUCGCUAUUGAGUUUGUUUUGUCAACUGAUCUGCUCACUAUUUGACUACAGAAUUUACUACCACCUGACGAGAUCUAACCUUUGUUGGAACUGCUACUUAUGAUCUGUAUGACUUCAUUGUGGCCUCCCAUGUCGUGAUAGAGCUUAGAUGAAUAACUUUUCAUGUUUCGACAAUCAGAAAUGUCGAUCACAUGCUCCAGCCUUGCUAUUUUGUUACUGAGCUACACCGUGAUACAUCAGAAUCAUGGACAUGGUGAUAUCCAGGUGUCUCUGCUAGACAGAUAUACCUACAAGCAUUCUGAGAUGUAUGAUGAUAAAAGUAAAACACAAAUUCAUAGAUUUGGUGAUUUCAUCUAACCAAAUAGCAUUGGAUAUGUAUUUUUGUGCUCAUCGGAGUUGAUGUCAACCCUGCUAAAAAAGGACAUGCCAUACAAGCCUUUACAUCACAUGCCUGAUUUUGAAAACGGCCUCCUUGAUGGAGAUAUUCCUCGGUGAGGAGAAUGCACUUCUUCUGGUCUCCUUCAUGGAUUUUUAAUGUUUCAUUGGUUCUAAUUUCU
This is a non-coding RNA of Lolium perenne, 3237 nucleotides long. Lineage: Eukaryota; Viridiplantae; Streptophyta; Magnoliopsida; Poales; Poaceae. The record is from RefSeq and is a predicted model, not a curated record.